GACGAACGCUGGCGGCGUGCUUAACACAUGCAAGUCGAACGGAAAGGCCCUGCUUUUGUGGGGUGCUCGAGUGGCGAACGGGUGAGUAACACGUGAGUAACCUGCCCUUGACUUUGGGAUAACUUCAGGAAACUGGGGCUAAUACCGGAUAGGAGCUCCUGCUGCAUGGUGGGGGUUGGAAAGUUUCGGCGGUUGGGGAUGGACUCGCGGCUUAUCAGCUUGUUGGUGGGGUAGUGGCUUACCAAGGCUUUGACGGGUAGCCGGCCUGAGAGGGUGACCGGCCACAUUGGGACUGAGAUACGGCCCAGACCUCUACGGGAGGCAGCAGUGGGGAAUAUUGCACAAUGGGCGGAAGCCUGAUGCAGCAACGCCGCGUGCGGGAUGACGGCCUUCGGGUUGUAAACCGCUUUCGCCUGUGACGAAGCGUGAGUGACGGUAAUGGGUAAAGAAGCACCGGCUAACUACGUG
Molecule: ribosomal RNA, 468 nt
Filed under: uncultured bacterium
Lineage: Bacteria
Description: partial 16S ribosomal RNA
Rfam family: Bacterial small subunit ribosomal RNA
Source: RNAcentral